RNAcentral lists this ribosomal RNA (253 nucleotides) under uncultured bacterium. Its description in RNAcentral is "partial 16S ribosomal RNA". It matches the Rfam family "Bacterial small subunit ribosomal RNA", at positions 524 to 776 of the family's 1533-position model. The record is from RNAcentral.
UACGGAGGGGGCUAGCGUUGUUCGGAAUUAUUGGGCGUAAAGAGCGCGUAGGCGGUCCGGUAAGUCGGUUGUGAAAGUCGGGGGCUCAACCCUCGGAUGCCGAUCGAUACUGACGAGCUCGAGUCCGGAAGAGGCGAGUGGAAUUCCUGGUGUAGCGGUGAAAUGCGCAGAUAUCGGGAGGAACACCAAUUGCGAAGGCAGCUCGCUGGGACGUCACUGACGCUGAGACGCGAAAGCGUGGGGAGCAAACAGG